CGAGCUUCUUCUCUGGAGUACACAACUCAUUGGUAAGCCUUCGGAGCUUUUUAACUGUUCACAAAUUCYGGAUGAGAAGAAUAACCUCACUUUUCUGAAUGCCAUGGAUCAUCAGGGUGAGAACAGGUUGGUCUAGAGGACAUUGCAGCCCUGAUGCCUUACUGCAAAGAGAGAGGAACAAGCUGAGAGAUUGCAAGUCCAACCUGGAAGAAGGAAAAGGUCCAAGCCCUCACAGCACACGGAGCGCUCACAGAGGACAGCAGUGACAAAACCUUGAGCUGCGAUGAUUUCACAGAGGCUCUAGGGGACUGCCACGGUGCAGGGGGCUAAAGGACAUAAUCUGAUCCCAGUUGCUGCAGCAUAGAUCUAGAAUAGCCCAUUUAAUCCAAACUAUACUUGUGUCAUUGUGAAGAACAAAUGGGAGCACAUCAAUCCUCCGCAUGCGGUGGCCCUUCCUGCUCACCGUUGGAUCUGCUGCGUUAAAUCUUCCUGCACACCUGCACGUGUGGAGCCGUUUGCCAGCCCCAUUGCUGCUAAAAGAGCCACCUGAGGCUCCUCGUGUGAUGGCUGCUCAUUCUGCUGUUGGAAACGAAGAGCAUGUUUCACCUUGCCUUUUAAUUUUGAUCUGGAAUGACKACUCAUUCUCAUGUAUCACUGUAAAAUCGAUCUGGAAUGCGAAAUUCAUUCCAAAAAUACCCAAGGAUCUCAUCAUUUCAAAAUAUACCCUUCAACAGAGUGUGUCUCUUUUACUAAUGGGCAUAUGAAAACCCCUUUCAAAACACUUACUGAACGUGUGCAAGAAAUAUGUAUCAGGACCCCCAGGGACCAAUGUGUCAGCAAAGCUCUUUGCCUUUUUCUCUCAGUGUCUCUCUCCCAUGUCAAAGUAGGAAUUUUGCAAUUACUGAUGAGAUCUGAGCUGCAGCAGACUGGACCAAAACAACCAAGAAAACCACCAGAACCCAGAUCCCAGAACUCUUUUGUGGGAAAAAUUCCGAAUUUUGUGUUAGCACAAAGUCAGUGUAAGAAAAAUCAUGGAAAGGUUGGGAAAAAAAGGAAGAUG
RNAcentral lists this long non-coding RNA (1060 nucleotides) under Dromaius novaehollandiae (emu). RNAcentral's name for it is "lncRNA (ENSDNVG00000017452.1)". Lineage: Eukaryota; Metazoa; Chordata; Aves; Casuariiformes; Dromaiidae. The record is from RNAcentral.